GAACUGCGAUACGUGAUGUGAAUUGCAGAAUUGUGAAUCAUCGAACUUUUGAACGCACAUUGCGCCUGUUGGUAUUCCAAUGGGCACGUCUGUUUGAGCGUUGUCAAAUCUCGGAUGGCAAUGGAGGAUGCAGGCAGGAGCACCUCUGAAAUACCUCGGCAUUGUGCCACGGCGAAACGUGAAGCAUUGCUGGAUUUUAUACUCUUCAUCCAACCUCAGACAGACGGGAAUACCCGCUGAACUUAA
This 246-nucleotide unclassified non-coding RNA is filed under the name uncultured Candida. RNAcentral's name for it is "sequence contains ITS1". The stretch from base 1 to 103 matches the Rfam family "5.8S ribosomal RNA", at positions 50 to 154 of the family's 154-position model. Lineage: Eukaryota; Fungi; Ascomycota; Saccharomycetes; Saccharomycetales. The record is from RNAcentral.